GGCACCAGGAACGCAGCGAGCGGCCGCCGGCCCCGAAUCCUCGCCCCUUUUGCCUUAUACGGUAAGAAGGGCUCGUCCCGCCGCCCCAUCCGCGGACGACAGGGGGUGGAGUCGUAUGCAAAUCGCCGCCACAAACAUAAAUAGAACGGCCCGAGCGCGCUGCGGGUUGGGCGGAACAGUGCGGGCUGUCGCUCCUCUCCUCGCUUGCACGCGCGCGUACACACAACCGGCGGCGGCAGGACGCCGCGUCGCUCUCCCAGCCCGCCUCGUGGCGUCACGAGCUGUGGGAAAAAAGGGGCCAGGCCUCUCUCUGACGCCACGCGAGGAGCGGAAUGUGGAGGCGGGGCCGGGGCCUCACCCCGCUCACCUCUGCGGGAACGCCGGGCGGGGAGGCGGCUGCGGGCAGCCGCGCUCGCAGCAGGGGAAAAAUGGCACCUGCUGGAUUUAUAUAGCUAACCUCGACUGAGUAUUUGCGCUGCCUGGGAGCCCGAGCGCUACAGGCAACAGUUACAGAUGUCGGACUUGGUUCUACUGCUCAUAGUGCGCUGGUUUCUGUGUGUCUGAGGGCAGAGGAAGGAAACGCGUGGAACAGUUUAAAAAAAAAUAAAAUCACGGUAACCUGUGCUUGACAGCAGAGGAGAAGUAUAUCUGACUCCGGGCCCCUCACUUAGCCUUCAUUAAUCAUUCCUCACAUCUUGAAACAGUUUUCUUCUACAUUGCUCCACUGCUAUUUCUGCUUUAAACAAGCGUCUAGCGAGGCAGUAGCAAUGCUGUUCUAAACUGGGUAUUGGCUGUUCUUCACCAGGUCUUAGCCACCUGCUGCAAUAGAAAUAACAUGUUAACGCUGCUGGAAGAAUUCUUCCUGUCAUAGCAAAGGAGGUUACAGUAAAAACUGACAAGUACAGCAAUGAAAAAUAGAGCUUCCAUAAUAAGCAAAAGUAGCCCAAAUGUUUGUUAUCUUAAUUUAGUCAUCCUUCUGCCUUUUCAGAUCUGGGAAAAAAUUAUCAAAUUCACUUAGGAAGUCCCAGAGAAAAGCCCAUCGAUACACCUUUUUCAUCCUUCUACCACUCAGGAGGAAGAGCUGCUUCCCAUUGAGUCUAUGAAUAUUAAUAGCUACAGAGGAUGCUGUUUAAGGUUUUUUCUUUGCUGGGCUGCAGAGUACACGAAGAAGUAAUGGCAUCUUUGCUCUUGAAAUUGUGCCAUAAGCAAUGAGGAUGCUUCUCCUUGGGCUCACUCUGCACUGACAUAGCACUGUAACAGUUUACAGAUUAUCUGGGUCUGAAGUUCCCUCCUCCCACUGGUAGCAGCACCUUGUCACCUCAAACUUUCUGAAAACAACUAGGAGAAUGUGUAAAGUCUAGGGAAAAAAUUAAUGUGUUAAACACAUACCUUAUCAGUAUUUAAAUCUGUAGUUAGGUUUUUUUUUGAAGGAUGUUCUUUUUUUGGAAAGAACUUACUGAGCUGCAUAUUCAUUUCCUCUUUUUCUGCCUCACAGUUGUGGAAGAUCUGUAUUACAGAGUUACACAGAGGGAAAGCAAUGGCUGUGGAAUAGCAGUGUUAACAUGGUUAAUCUCUUGCACUCAAUCGAAGUCAGCUCUGUGAGCUGCUUGGAAAAACACCCCUGGCGACCACUCUGUAUUUUGUUCUUUAUGUUUCAGUGCAUUAGACCACUUGCAGUCAUUCCCAUUCCUUGCUGUAGCACAUACAAAGCCUGAGCAUUCUACUAGCUGCACUAAUUUGAAAGAAAGAUGGCAUGCAGUUGUCUUUGUAUGCAGAAAACAAUGGUCUGUGUGUAGAAAAUGGAUUGCGGACAACCCAGUGCUGGCCAACGUGAGUCACUCUGGUGGUUAAAACUUAGCUGGAAAGAUGAGAACAAGAAAAACCAAGAUGGCAUUCAAGUUGAACAGGAGUCUAUCUUCAUGCAUGGCAUAAAAUAUCUCUAAACACUAUGAGGGUAGGAGAUCAGAGAUGAAAAGGAGGAAAUGAGGAAUGGCUGAGCAACCUGGGUCUGUUCAGCCUGGGGAAAAGAAGAAUGAAGGGGAAUGUCAUUAAUGUUAAUAAAUACGUAAAGGGAGGUGGGAGGCAAAUGAAUGAGGCCAGGCUUUUCUCGGUGGUGUGUGGCAAUAGGGCAAGGAGUAAUGGCCUAAAACUUGAGCAUAGAAGUUCCAUGCAAACAUGCAGCAGAACUUCUUUACGGCAGGGCUGGUGGAGCAGUGGAGCAGGUUGCCCAGAGAGGUAGUGGAGUCUCCUUCUGUGGAGAUAUUCAAGACCCGUCUGGAUGCCUACCUGUGCAACCUGUUGUAGGCUUUAGCAGGGGGUUUAGACUCUAUGAUCUCUGGAGGUCCCUUCCAACCCCUGCAAUUCUGUGAUUUUGUGUGAUUCUGUGAAACCUAGCAAAGGAGUCUAGAAGGUUCUUAAAGCCAGAGCUCUAUGAAGCAAAGCAAAAUUACUAAGCAUUAAUUUAAAGUGUUGAUCAAGAGAUGACAGCAUUAAUAUAAGCAAAUGCAAGAAAGACUUAGAGUUAUGCUGAAACAGUUAAAUGUACGAUGCUAAAACAAUUCUUUUUUUAACGUGCUUCAGUAAGGACUUCUAUUUAACAAAGCAUUUCAAAGACAGUUUCUAAUCUUUGUGGAUUCCAAAUGUAUUUUAACAUUUAUCAUUCAAAAAUUUGAAAAACACUACUGUAGAUAAAAAACAGUGAAUAUUGCUACUCUUUGCAGUACAAUAACUGGAAAUUCAAACACAGGAAUAGCAGACAGUUAUGAUGAAUGUUGAUGAAGACCACCAGUCAAUGAAGAAAGUAGCACACUUGAUCUAUAUCUCUGGCUUAAUUUUUUUUUUUAAUUGUUUAAUUUGUUGUGUUCAGACACUUAUUUUCAGAAGUUAAAAAUAGCAAUCUUGCCUUUUACUAGCAUUUUAAAUCAAAUUGGAUACUCUAGGAUAAAUACUGCCAGCUCAUUUAGGACUCAUUUAGGAGUCAUUCUAUUGAAAUGUAAGUAAACCAGCAGCUCUGAAAGAGACCUUUCAAAGGACAACUUUUUAUUCUAAUUAAAAUCCACGAUGAUUCUAAAAAUGGAGUCAGAUUCUAGAAUCCAAAAGCAUUUAGGAAAAUGUACUUAAAAUGCUAGGUAUGCUGCACCAGUAUUGUAAAAUAAUGUAAAUAGACAUCGUAAUUUGAGCUAAAUCCUAUUCACAUUCAUUUUUGUGUUCUCUGCCUUUUUGUGGCUUGAUACUUGAUGUAUGAAGUCAUUCUGAGAUGGACUGAAGGGAAUGGCAUUGUGUGUCCCAGCGCUCUUUGAAUUAAUGCUGCUCUGUAUUUCCUCAAGGAACAAGCACAUUCACUUUACAUUUAUGGAGAACAGACCCUGGGAAGAAAUUAUUUCUUCCUUAUAAGGAGCAUUGUGUUGGAAUAUCUGUUGGGACAGUUCAGCUCACUAACUUUCUAGGGGUAAAAGCAUCACUGUUACAAGUAAAAUGAUAAUGUGCAAGUGACUUCUUAAAAUGAAACAUGUUGAACUGAUUUACAAUGUUCAGAAUUUCAAAGUAUCAGAAUAGAGAAAUAAGAGUAUUCACCUUUCUUCAGAGUUUUAACUUACUCACUUCCAUUCACAAGAAGUCAAAAGCAGAAAAUCCUGUCUAUGACAGGAAGCUAGAUUUAAUGUCACUCUGGGUUCAUUGUUUCAGAAUUCAUGAACACUCAAAACAAUGUUACUCCUCACAAGCUUUUGAAAACUAUAUUUCUAAGGGAUUAUGUUUUUCUAAUAUCUAAGUAAAAGCAAAUCAGUUUGAAGAAAACAUUUUUCAAUCUUUAAAAUAACUUUCUUCUAGGUAUUCUUUCUCCUUGUUGCAAGUAUGUAUUCUUAAUUGUGGUAAAGUAUCUCUGUAAAGCUUAAAAUAAUAAUAACAAUAAUAAUAAUAAAGCACAUUCUUCAAAGCUUUAAAUUCUCAGACAUCCUCCACCAAUGAUAUGAUAGGCCAGUUCAGAAGUUAAUCAGUUGCAGAAUGCCACCAGUCAGUCUACCAACAUGUGUAGGAACGCUUCAGCACAUACAGUGUAUGGACAGUGGUCUGAAUUGGAGCAUCAUUGCAAUGCUUCUUGUGGAUAAGAUCCUGCACAAACAAACUUUUUAUUUUUUUUAUCCAGCUUCCUCUCUUUAAACUUAACUUUAUUUGAGACUUGUGUGCAUUAGACAUAAUAGCUAUUGUGCUGUGGCAGGAAAUAUAUUAAUUAUUGGAUAGAAAUUCUUCCUGAAGAAAGGCAUGCAAGCCUCAGUCCACUAAUAACAGAAACAAAAGGCUUUGCUUACCCAGAUGUUCACCUGUGGCAAAGGAAGAGAAACGACACAUACUAAAGAUUUGCGUAAGUGCACUUCCCAGGAUGCUGAGUGCUGGUCGGAUGGCUCUAAAGUAGUAAAAAAAUUAGUAGUCUCUGCCUUCCAUCUCAAGAAUUCUGAGUCCAGGUUCAUUUGUGAUGCUGACAGAGCUGAAUGCACAAGUGCUUAGCUUAAAUGUGCCAAAAACUGGAAAUGGAAGCUUCCUACAGGAGCUGAAAUUCCUGCCUAUGUGCUAGAGGUGUGGUGCUUGUUCCUAGGACCCUGGCUGUGUUGCUGCCUCCUUGUCUCCACCAACACAGCCCUGAAGAAGUGUGGGAAGAAGGAGGUGCAGUUACCUGUCCAAUUGUUGCUUCUGCUAUUUGCCAGUCCCCUGUGACCUUCUAUGCCUUCAUAAAUUGUAACUGUGCACCUGCAUAAAGCAUGGAGGCAGGGACAGUCAGAGAUAACUAAGCAACACCAAAAUGGUUCCUGUUUAAACAACUGGCGUUCUUUUAAAAAGCUUGGUUACGAUGUCUGCUUCAUCUGACUUUGUCACCAGUGAUUACAUUUAGCAAACUGGGAGACCUGAGCUGGAGGUUUUUUGUUAACAGUCCAUUUAAACUGAUUACUGAUUGUUAACCUCUUGAUCUACUAAUGUUCAAAAAAUAUUACAGAUUUUCCUCUGCCUCUAACUGGGACUGAAACUUCCUGUUAGGUUUUACAGACUAUUUUUUUUCUUGAUUUGUAUUCAAUGCAAACUUAAGGAAGCACUUUAAAUAUGAGGACUUCUGUAUAACUUAGACACCCCAUGAAAUCAGAGACUGAGACUUUCAAUAUGUCAGAAAAAUGACAUAAAAACUCAGUAUGAGAGUAUGACAUUCUUUGGAGUUGUUUGUUUUUGUUUUUUGUUAGUUUGUUUUUCAGAUAUUAUAUUCUACAUAUAUCUAUAUAGUAGUAUUUGGUAUCAACUCCACCCUUAAGCAAAGUGCCAUCUAAAUGUGAUGGUACUUCAACAGGGUCAGUUGGUCUAAGAAAAACUUUACAUUUGUCCCAGGGCUUUAAAAAGCAUUUGAAAUUUUGUUGCCUAAGUGCUAAAUAGACUGAUGUGUGCUUGUUUUAUCACAUUUUUCCUGCAAAGCCAAGUUUCUGAUCUGUGGAAUGUUCCGUCCAUUUAAAGCAAUCAAUUUUCUGAGUUAAACACAGCUUACCAAUGUGUAAUCAGUGUAUCAGUGAUUCUGAUAUGAUUUCACAUUUUCUUUAUACCAACUAUAUGCAUUUUCUUGCAUAUUUGCCUAUUUCUAAAUCUCUUCUCUCCUUCAUAGCUACCCAUGACUGCACUUUGGUACUGAUUGUUCUCUGUAUGCUGUAAUUCUCUUUUCUGAUAAACACCCUAUAAACAUGCUAUCCACUUACCUUCCUUAUUCUUUGGCUUCCUGCUCAACAAUCUUGGAAAUUGUACCAGAGCUAAUAUCUCAAGAUAAGUUUUGUAGUCAGAUUCAGAAAAUAGAGAUUAAGAUGAGCUGCAUUUCUCCACAUGGAAUAGCAGUGGCACAAUGUACCCAUUUAUUUCCAGAAAAUUAGUGCUUUGAGCUUCUUCCAUAUGGAUUGUUAGGAGUGGCAAGAAUUUGCCAGUUUUAACUACUGAAAAGGAAGGAACCCCUUGAUGCUUGGUAUGUGUCCAUUCUGCUUCACUUCAGGAAGUCAGGCAGAACUCAUGGAAUAAUUCUCUUAUUGCUAGACACUGUCCUCUGCUGGGCUGUAUUUGGAGUCCUUCAGAAGGAAUAGAUACAACAUGGUAAGUAAUGUGGUUCAGAUCCUAUAGGAGACACUGUGUCAGGCUGACUGCAGGCUUAGGCAGAUGUCUCCACCAGUCAUCCUGCGGAUGUUGUGAUCCUUGAACAGAGUGAUAAAAAUCUGCUGUUCAUGUAAAAUACAUUUUUUUGUGGGUCUCCAAAAAAAAAUGGAUAUUCUGGGCAGGGACAGGAGCCUUUGAAUUUAUCCACUGUAGUGAAGUUCUGAUUCUAUUUUGGGUGAUCCUGUGAGGAGCAAGGAGUUGGACUGUUAGAACCUGUUGAGUCCCUUCCAACUCAGGGUAUUCUAUGAUUCUCAAUACCUGCUCCCGCAAACAGAGAAGAAAGAAGAACCUCUCCAGUACCCUGGGUCAGAACUGCUUCCCAGAUAGUAAUUUUAAUAUGUGCUUUGCAGAGCUUUGUUUACAGACGAUGCAAAAAUCAGCUUUAUUUCUGUGGUCCCAUGGUUCUGAGCAGCAGAAAAGAUUGACAGAUUCUGUUUAAUUUUUGUUUUGCUCAGGAUAGCAGCACAGGGAACAAAGCUCUCCAUUCUUAAUUGGUUAACCAGUCCUGAGCUGGUUUGCAGCCUACUCCGGACCUUUCAAUUUAUAAGCACAAAGAAUUUGAUUUUUAUUUAUUUAUUUUUUAAAAAACAAAGGUUUACUGGCUGCAGUUGAAUGGCUGGAGAUCUUUUUAAAGAAGAUAUGAACACGAGUAAGAAGUGGAAGAACUGAGGAAGAGAAGGGCAGAACUAGGGCGAGUAAGAGCUGAAGGAUGACCUAGUUCAUAUAAACCCAGUCUGUUGCCAGCUCCACCCUCUAAAUGGCAUUUACUGCCAGGGAAAUUGAAUCCACCCUGAACUGAUUCUAACAUCAGGAAAAUCCUCCUAAAAUAGCUCUGGGCAUUACAAAAGUUGCAGUUUCCUCUCCCAGUAAUUGAUGCUGUGGUGACAAACUCCAUCUGGUACUCAUGAGUUGCAGUCACCACAUCUGUUAAGGGGAAGAAAGCAACUUUUUCCCUUUGUUCAGUCUCCUGCCGUGUCUGCAAAGAUAGACCAAGGAGUGAAAAAUUGUUUGCUAAGUUGGGGUAUGUGUUGAAAGGGAUAGUGUGAUGGUGUCCUCUGUAGUAGCAGCUUGGAAAUGAAUCUGCAACCUAUGUUGACUCAGGUUUUUAAGAUGUGUUAAAUGAAGAACCACUUUAAGAGUAACUGGGGAUUUGUCUGAGUUGCAUUAUUGCCAUUGGAUGUGAGUUUAUUUCAUCCUGUUUACUAAAUGGGAAGUAUAACCAUGGCAACAUUCAUGACACGCUCUGCAUGAAUCUGCCAGCACAGGAGUGAAAUUAGAAGACAACCAUUUGAAAGUGGCUUGAGAACUCAAAAAGCAAGUUUCAUGUGACAGUCCAGAUGAUAAAUACACUUCAGAAUCUGUAGAGCGGACAUUAUGCUACAUUUACUAGUUUGGUUUAAGCUGGUCUCAGCAAGAAUAUUUGUGGUAUCACUUGUAUAGAUCUUAACUCAGUGAAUGAAAGCAUGGUGGUGUAAAUACUAAGUCACUAGUGAUUCUGAUGAGCUUCUUGACCUUAAUUUUGUGUGAAGCAUACUUAGAAACACAAACACUUCCAGACUUUUAUGCUUACACGCAGCACAAAGAUAUUUGAAAUCUGUUUACUUCAGGGAAAAAGAGACAGAAUGAUGAUUCCUAGACAAGAUGGAAUUUCUGCUUUCCACUUAUAAAGAAAAAAAGCCUGGGGUGAAUGGAAGUAUGAAGGGGAAUAUAAAAGGAACUUUCUAGAUCAGAGUCCAUGCUCUGCAGUCCCAGGUAUAAACUGUUGAUAAAUGUAGUCUAAUAACUAAUUCCUGUAGGUGUUUCCUGUUGUAAUACUUUGGAGAUAUCUUUUAAAUGGAAAAUUGUGGUCUGACACAAUGAAGUUGGGCUGAGUAAUAAACUGCUUCUUCAUAUCUCUCCACAGGUCACUUGUUUCAGAACGGAACAGUCUAACUACACAUUUCUGAGUGAGAGUGAUAGAAGCUAUCACAAGUAACACUGCAUAAAGAUAUUUCCCCACUUUUGCUUGUGCUUUUAUGUGAGGCUAUCUUCACCAUUUUUGUUUAAGUUAGUUCCCUUUUCGUGUGCAUCUAUCACGUACCAGGAAAGUCAUGUUUCUGUAAUUAAGCCUCACAAGCCAUUCAGGAGAUGUGUAGGAGAAUGCAGAACUGCUUGAACUCAUUUUUGAAAGUUGGCUAGAUUCUGACUCUGCCCUUUCAACAGAUGCUCAGAACAGUGACUGCUUUUUAUUGCCUCAGCACACCAUCUUGGGAUAACACAUCAGCCAGUCUGAUGGAAUAUUUUAUGUGGAGUUACUACUUUCCAUGAGUCAGUGCUGUAAAAGGCAAUUACGUCUGCAAAGAACACUGCAUCAUUCAAGUCCCUUGCUGCCCUCAUGACUAGAAGCAGUACAUUUAGGGUGGCUUAUGUCAGUCCUAAGAAUUAUACAAAUCUACAGAAAUGAUGGAACUGUUGCUAUAAAAAUACAAGAGACCAAAUAAUUAAUUAUGUUUUCACAUAUGGGUAAAAACUGAUACUUCUAUCACUUUGAAAGUUAAGAAAAAGCACAUGCUUUUCUAGUAGUAGUUUGGGAACAUAUUAUCCAUCAGAGCUAGCUUUAAAGUACCACGUUCAGCUAACUUGAAUUCACUGUCUGUAUUAAAACUGAUUGAGCAGCUAUCUGGAUUGUUGUUUGUUUUUAUUAUAAUUUAAACUAGGAAAGACAAUCUAGAGGGCUUGACAAAGUGAAGAGAGCUGGUAGUAAAUGGGUAAAAUAGGACAGUCCAGAUCAGUCAUCAGUCUGUUGCAAAAAAAUACUUAAUUGGUAUCAGUCUGAUCAAUAAACUAUUAAAAGAAAUCAGUAGAACUAAGGGAUAAUAUAUACUGUGAGUGUAUACAAAAAAUAGAUCUGACCAUAGAUUUUUAUAAAAUACGCUUAAUAAAACAUGUAGCAUUUACAUAACAGUACUGCUUAUGUAGUUUUUAGAUGACUUCUGGACAUUUUAACUUACUACUUCAUGACACCUUUUAUAUGUCUAGCUAAUUUAUUCAUUAUGACCUGUUUAGUAAUAGAAUAUUUGUAAACUAACAAUUGAAAAAUAAAUAGCAAAUGGGGGAUUCUGAAUGAGCAUAUUAGGAUUAUUUUAGGAAUUGGUUUUGGCCUUCUGUUAUUUAUAUUUGUGUUUGUUUCAAAUGGCAUCAAAGUCUAUACAGAAUUAAUAACCAUAGCUUAUAGAUUAUCCAAAAGUAUGGAAAUGUAACGUACAAAAAAACAAGUCUAUUAUGUGGUCCAGAUGACUUAGUAAGUUGGGUGUGAGCAGGCAACUGUUUUGUGGGUAACUAUUAAGUCAUGCAUUUGUUAACAGUGAAAGCACACUGUCCUUUUUACGUAUCCGUUUAGUCUACUCAUCAAAUACUAGAGCUCAAGAAGGACCAGAGCAGAACCCAGAUUUGAGACCACUGAAGGUUAGUUGGGCAAGAGGUUUUCAAAACACAGUCUCCUAAGAAACACAACAUUUUGCUUUAGGGAAAUAUAUGGUUCCAGAUUCUUUGGGCAUCAUGGCAAUGAUCAUCUUUAAAACGUGGUUGUGUUGCAUACUUGAACAACUUUAUUGUGGCUUGUCAAAGGAAUGCUUCAACAUUCCCAUACUAUAGAUUAACUAUACUUUUGAAUUUUGAGCCAGUCUUUUAAAAUAUUUUUCUUACACUAUAGGUGUUUCUAUUUCUCUGCCUUGCAUAGCUUUUUCAUAUGUAUGUGUUUGCUAUCAUUCAAGACUACAUUGUCAUAUUGUCAUCUAAUCACCAUCAAGUUGUCAGACCAUGUUUUUGGCCUGUGUAGACAAUACUGAUGUCAGAGGAUCUUUUAUCUCUCUAAGUGGACCAACUUAUGCAAAACAGCCUUAAAGACAAUGGUUCUCACUAAAUCAAAAAACAAACGAACAAAAGGAAUAUGUAUUAUUCUUUCUGUGCACUCAUUCUUCUUUACCUCUCUCAAAUUCACUCUUGCCAGUGCAAGAGCCCAACACAAUUGCCCCAGCUCAUUUCUCAGCAAGCCUAUUGGUACAGCUGUAACAAAUGAGGGAAUAAAACCAUGUCUAGAAAUUAUUCCCAUAGUCUUAUUAUCAUUAUGGCAGAGUUAGUGCUGCCAGCGCCUUCUUCAUCUUCAUAAAAAAUGUGUUUUGCCAGGAUCUCAGUAGAACGGAAAAUGCUGGUUGGAAUUUUUCUUCUGUUAAUGUGUUUUUAUUUGGGGAUUUGGAGGGGAAAUGAAAAAGUGCAGAGGGAUUUAUCAAGGAAGGUAACAAUGAAAUAACUCCUUAAUUUAGAUUUUUUGUGGAAAAAAAAAAGCCUUAUAUAGUUCUUGGUUAUAGAGAAAAUCUCCAUGGAGUACAAUAGCAAUACUAGUUCUGUGUUUAGCACUGAAAUAAUUUUUGCUCAAGUUUGCUUUGUCCAGUUCAGGAUUCAAGAAGACUGCUGGUAGACAGAAAAUGUUGGGUGAAGAACCAGAAAAAUAAUUGAUUCAUAAGGCAUAGGAUGAGUGAUGCAAGGAGGUUCUUCUGGUUUUGGGACAGUUUGAUGGGAAUUAUAAUGGGUUUUCAAUCUCUACUAGUUUAGGCUUCAAGAGAUGUCUUUCUUAAAAUACAUGCUCUAACUGAACUGAGAAGUAGUUCAGGAAAUCUCAGGGACCUCUAUGACAAAACAGAUCAGCCUCAAGUGGUAACAGUAAAUGAUCUAGCCUUACCUCUGAUAGGAACUAAGCUGGUUUUGGUUCUUUCUUCAGCUCUGCUGUGGGCUUAUCUCAUGCUUCCAUUUUUUGCCUAUUAAUGCUAACAGUUGUAUUGUAGCAUGAGAGCACUGCAGGAGUUUUAAGUAGAAGCAUAACUGCCUAAAUGAUAUAGUCUGGCAAGGAAUGCAGACUGCUGAAAACCUGAACUAAAGAUGUACACAGAGAACAACCAGCCACACAUGAAAUUUCAAUAUUCCCUUUUCUUGCUUAUUCCUGUUUCUGAGCAAUAUUCUUGUGAACUAACAGUUCAUCUAUGCUACUGUAUAAGCUUGCAGCCAUAUGCAGAAUGUGGAAUACUGUUUUGGAUUAGAAGUCCUAGUAUCAACUGUUGUAUUCUUGCAUGAUUUUAAAUGCACCAUGUGCAUUAUGUGUUCAUGUGGACACCUGAUCUUUUUGCUUCUCCAGAACUCACAGCUUAUGUUUGAAAUCAUGUAAAGUGAUAAACAGUCCUAAAGAAAAAAAUGCAAAAGUAAUCAGCAACACUAGCUUAUGAUUAUUUACAGCAAACUAAUUCCCACUUUGCACAUAGAAAACUUAAACUAUGUCUUUGCCUGGCUGAAAACUUCCUUUCUGCAAGUAAUAAAAAAAAAAUUUGAAGAUCCCUUACAAUAGUUACUUCAGAUUUCUUGCAGCUUGAGGCAAAACCACAUUGGCAGAAAGACAGUGUCCUAUCUCUGAUGGCUCUUAAGCCUCUCUGAACCUGACCUGAAUAUGAACUUGCACAAAAGGGACCUCUGUGCAGUGACAAGAACUUGAAAACAGAAAAUAAUUAUGUAAGAAAUUCAAAAUAAGUUGGGGAGCGUGUUUGAAUGACAUCAGCAUUCAGAGUAGUUCCUUAAGAAGAUCUGGAUGCUUGUAUCCCCCACUGCCAUGUGGUUUCCUUUACAUUCAGCUGAAUUUUCUAUUGAGCUUCCUCCAAGGUGAAACCUUAUCCCUGACAGCAAUCCUUGCCUUUUGGUGCAAAGUUGGCCUUGCUAUCCUGUGCAAGUCUCCCAACUCUUGAAAUACUUUGAUACUGAUGAGAAAGGGGUGUGUUUAAAAAGAAAGAAAGAAGAUCACAGAUAAGUCCCUGUGUUUUCCCAUGCCAUCUUGCAGAAGCUAAUAAAUUAAUUUAUUUUGAAAGUCAAUGGAAAGAAGAAUAUCCUUAUUGUUUUGAAGACAAUAGCUCACACUGGUCACCUCAUCAUUGCAGCACUGACCAGCAGGCAGCUGUGCUAAUUGCUGACCUUGCUAUCAGAAGCUCCAGGGCUUAGCCUCUGUUCAGGUGAAAUAAGUUUUUAACUAAACUUCCAAACAGUUGAAUUUUACUACUGAGGAGAUUCUUUAUACACUUUUAGGAGUAGUUUUUCACAUUUACGUUCUCAUCAGACUGCCUUCAAUGCCCUUUUAGUUUCACUGGUCACCACUCACUGAGGAGUACUUGUGAUGUGCUAUUACUUCCUCAUUUAUCUUUUGAUCAGAUAACUGUUUGACUACAUUUAAAAAAAAAAAAAAUCUACAGCUAAGCAAAGCAUCUAAUUUCCACAGAUAGGUCUUAUGUCAUAGGCCUGAAUCUCUUAGGUGGAUGGUCCACUGCUUCCAUGCCUCAAGAGCUCUGGUUUUGGACUUCAUGCUUUAAAGAAUUAUCUUUAACUUUGAAUAUUUGGGUGUCCCCUCUGCUGACAACUCUCAGUGAGACAGGAGGCUCCAAAGUACAACUGUUGGGAUGUGCCUCCAUUGUUGAUUUUUGCCAUCUCCUGCAGGAGUCUUGUGUCUUCUUACAUGCACUCAGCAUUUGCUGCUCUGUGUGCAACUAUGCUUGACUAUAAUUUCCCCCUUUCUCAUAAGCAUCUGAAGAAGUGAAUUUUGAUCUCUGUCUUGGGGAACGGAGGAAAAAUCUACUUCGUUCUUUCCCCAGCUUUGCUUUCUUCUUUGCAUUGAAGGAUGUUUUUCUUCUGAAAGAGCCCUUUUAAAGAUUGCUGAUGAGAUUUUCAUGGGAUAUGGACCAAGCUUAUGUUGAAGUGCUUUGAUAACAGUCAAUUGUUUGUAGCAGCAAUUUAACUGCUCCACCAGGCUGAAAGUAUUUCUGUUUGAGGUACUCUUGAAGGCUGUUUAAGCUCCACAGAUACCAUCUUAUUUUUGCUACAAAAAGGAGAGUCUAAUCUGCACUUUAAAUUGCAAUGAAAUACUAUCCACAAACUGGCAGCCAUUCCCCAGACUCUCACACCUUGAUUUUAACAUAAGAGCUGACUGACACAAUCAGAUCAAAUGAACUUCCAGAAUUUUUUGCUACAUCUAAUAGGCAGCAUUUCUCAUUCAAGUUUCCUAUAGUGAGGUUACAUCUCCAGCAAUAGUCUAGAUUCUCAUCUGGUGUAAAUUAUCAUAGUUCUCCUCAACUUCAAUGGACUUUAUAAUUUAUACCAUCUGAAAUUCUGCAUUUGAAAACCCAAUAAUGAAAAGCAGAUGCUAUAUUAACUGUUCUGAAAAAAUGAUAAGUGCCUAGUUUGUGUCUGAGUCUAGUUAUCAUAAAACCUGUUACUCACUGCCAGCAGUCCACCGCUAACUGGAGAAUUAAAGUCCUGUGUCCUGUAUCUGAGUAACUGA
Molecule: long non-coding RNA, 13513 nt
Organism: Numida meleagris (helmeted guineafowl)
Lineage: Eukaryota; Metazoa; Chordata; Aves; Galliformes; Numididae
Exons: 2
Source: RefSeq, a predicted model, not a curated record